GACGAACGCUGGCGGCGUGCUUAACACAUGCAAGUCGAGCGGAAAGGCCCUGCUUUUGUGUGUUUCUCGAGUGGCGAACGGGUGAGUGACACGUGAGUAACCUGCCCUUGACUUUGGGAUAACUUCAGGAAACUGGGGCUAAUACCGGAUAUGAUCUCCUGCUGCAUGUGGUUGGUUGGUAAAUGUCGGCGUUUCGGGAUGGAUUCGCGGCUUAUCAGCUUGUUUGUGGGGUAGUGGCGUACCAAGGCUUUGACGGGUAGCCUGCCUGAGAGGGUGACCGGGCACAUGGGGACUGAGAUACGGACCAGACUCCAACGGGAGGCAGUAGUGGGGAAUCUUGCGCAGUGGGGGGAAGCCUGAUGCAGAAACGUCGGGUGCGGGAUGACGGCCUUCGGGUUGUAAACAGAUUUCGCCUGUGACGAAGAGUGAGUGACGGUAAUGGGUAAAGAAGCAACGGCUAACUACGUG
Molecule: ribosomal RNA, 468 nt
Filed under: uncultured bacterium
Lineage: Bacteria
Description: partial 16S ribosomal RNA
Rfam family: Bacterial small subunit ribosomal RNA
Source: RNAcentral